GCCCCCCUAGCUCAGUCGGUAGAGCGCGUGACUUUUAAUCAUGAGGCCACGGGUUCGAGCCCCGUGGGGGGUA
Transfer RNA from Catenaria anguillulae PL171, 73 nucleotides. It matches the Rfam family "tRNA". Rfam says of the family: Transfer RNA (tRNA) molecules are approximately 80 nucleotides in length. Lineage: Eukaryota; Fungi; Blastocladiomycota; Blastocladiomycetes; Blastocladiales; Catenariaceae. The record is from Rfam.